UCGAACGCGGAAAGUUCCCUUCGGGGGGCGAGUAGAGCUGGCGCACGGCCUGUNGAUAACACGUAGGGUAAUCAUACCUUCGGAUGGGGAAUAACAAUCGGAAACGGUUGCUAAUACCGCAUAAUGCAGCGGCACCUAAUGGUGACAGUUGUUAAAGCGGGGGAUCGAAAGACCUCGCGUCUGAAGAGGAGCCUGCGGCGGAUUAGCUAGUUGGUAAGGUAACGGCUUACCAAGGCGACGAUCCGUAGCCGGCCUGAGAGGGCGGUCGGCCACACUGACACUGACAUACGGGUCAGACUCCUACGGGAGGCAGCAGUCGGGAAUUUUGGGCAAUGGGCGAAAGCCUGACCCAGCAACGCCGCGUGAAGGAUGAAAUCCCUCGGGAUGUAAACUUCGCAAGAACGGGAAGAAUAAGUCUGUGUAAAUACCAUAGAUGAUGACGGUACCGUUUGUAAGCUCCGGCUAACUCCGUGCCAGCAGCCGCGGUAAUACGGGGGGAGCAAAGCGUUGUUCGGAUUUACUGGGCGUAAAAGGGCGCGUAGGCGGCCCAGCGCAAGUCNAGUUGUGAAAAUCUCCGAACCUUAACUCNGAAAAGGUCAACUGAUACUGCCCGGGCUAAANUGCNGNAAGGGGCAAACUGGAAUUUCNUNGGUUGUAACCGGUUGAAAAUGCGUAAAUUUUCAAA
RNAcentral lists this ribosomal RNA (685 nucleotides) under uncultured bacterium. RNAcentral describes it as "bacterial SSU rRNA". It matches the Rfam family "Bacterial small subunit ribosomal RNA", at positions 62 to 702 of the family's 1533-position model. The record is from RNAcentral.